Molecule: non-coding RNA, 46 nt
Filed under: Trichobilharzia regenti
Lineage: Eukaryota; Metazoa; Platyhelminthes; Trematoda; Strigeidida; Schistosomatidae
Source: RNAcentral
GUAUUACUGAAGAGUCCUUAAAUAAGACGAAACAGCUGUCCAGUAC